RNAcentral lists this small nuclear RNA (21 nucleotides) under Arabidopsis thaliana (thale cress). Its description in RNAcentral is "snRNA_06640". Lineage: Eukaryota; Viridiplantae; Streptophyta; Magnoliopsida; Brassicales; Brassicaceae. The record is from RNAcentral.
GUGGGCUCCCCAUUCGACCCG